AAGGUUCGAUUCUGGCUCAGGAUGAACGCUAGCUACAGGCUUAACACAUGCAAGUCGAGGGGCAGCAUUAUCGAAGCUUGCUUGAUAGAUGGCGACCGGCGCACGGGUGAGUAACGCGUAUCCAACCUUCCCAUCACUCAGGGAUAGCCCGCCGAAAGGCGAAUUAAUACCUGAUGGUCUCCUUCGCGGACAUCUAACGAGGAGUAAAGAUUCAUUGGUGAUGGAUGGGGAUGCGUCUGAUUAGGUAGUAGGCGGGGUAACGGCCCACCUAGCCUACGAUCAGUAGGGGUUCUGAGAGGAAGGUCCCCCACAUUGGAACUGAGACACGGUCCAAACUCCUACGGGAGGCAGCAGUGAGGAAUAUUGGUCAAUGGACGGAAGUCUGAACCAGCCGAGUAGCGUGCAGGAUGACGGCCCUAUGGGUUGUAAACUGCUUUUGUGCGGGAAUAAAGUAUGGGACGUGUCCCGUUUUGCAUGUACCGCACGAAUAAGGACCGGCUAAUUCCGUGCCAGCCGCCGC
This 520-nucleotide ribosomal RNA is filed under the name uncultured bacterium. Its description in RNAcentral is "bacterial SSU rRNA". It matches the Rfam family "Bacterial small subunit ribosomal RNA", at positions 8 to 518 of the family's 1533-position model. The record is from RNAcentral.